UGGAAUCCGAGAAAAUCCAUCUCGCUUU
Molecule: small RNA, 28 nt
Filed under: Bombyx mori (domestic silkworm)
Lineage: Eukaryota; Metazoa; Arthropoda; Insecta; Lepidoptera; Bombycidae
Description: ovarian small RNA-34485
Source: RNAcentral